CUGUUGCUGUUCAUAUUGCUGCUGCUGUUCAUGUUGCUGCUGCUGUUGCAGGCAUGUGCUGCUAGAGAUGUCCUCGUUCUGUGUGUAAGUGUAUCCAGCUAGUUGCUGCUGUUGGGGCUGCUGCAGCUGCAACUGCUGCUGCUGCUGUUGCUGCUGCUGCAGCAAGUUCAUCAUAUAAAGCUGCAUUAUAAACUCCAUUUGAUU
Molecule: small RNA, 204 nt
Filed under: Drosophila guanche
Lineage: Eukaryota; Metazoa; Arthropoda; Insecta; Diptera; Drosophilidae
Source: RNAcentral